AACGAACGCUGGCGGCAUGCCUAACACAUGCAAGUCGAACGAGACCUUCGGGUCUAGUGGCGCACGGGUGCGUAACGCGUGGGAACCUGCCCUUAGGUUCGGAAUAACUCCCCGAAAGGGGUGCUAAUACCGGAUAAUGUCUUCGGACCAAAGAUUUAUCGCCUUUGGAUGGGCCCGCGUUGGAUUAGCUAGUUGGUAGGGUAAAAGCCUACCAAGGCGACGAUCCAUAGCUGGUCUGAGAGGAUGAUCAGCCACACUGGGACUGAGACACGGCCCAGACUCCUACGGGAGGCAGCAGUGGGGAAUAUUGGACAAUGGGCGAAAGCCUGAUCCAGCAAUGCCGCGUGAGUGAUGAAGGCCUUAGGGUUGUAAAGCUCUUUUAACCGGGAUGAUAAUGACAGUACCGGGAGAAUAGGCUCCGGCUAACUCCGUG
Molecule: ribosomal RNA, 433 nt
Filed under: uncultured bacterium
Lineage: Bacteria
Description: partial 16S ribosomal RNA
Rfam family: Bacterial small subunit ribosomal RNA
Source: RNAcentral